This 352-nucleotide transfer-messenger RNA is filed under the name Acutalibacteraceae. RNAcentral describes it as "Eubacterium_R sp900539775 Standard tmRNA". It matches the Rfam family "transfer-messenger RNA". Rfam says of the family: Bacterial tmRNA, also known as 10Sa RNA or SsrA, is named for its dual tRNA and mRNA-like properties. Lineage: Bacteria; Bacillati; Bacillota; Clostridia; Eubacteriales. RNAcentral also lists the same sequence under 1 other name. The record is from RNAcentral.
GGGGAUGAAAGGAUUUCGACGGGGUUGUUAAACCUUGGUCAGCGAGUAGCGGAGUUGCACCGCUUUAAAAGUAACACUUUAAAAUUAACUGACAAUAACAGAUCAGUAGCUCUUGCUGCUUAAUUAGCGGCUUGCGUUCUGCCGGAGAGUGCCACGGCUCCGAACAGAGCGUCGAUUUAGUGGUGAACAUGAACGGAAGAGCGCCUUGGCUUCCGUCAGGUAUAAAAGGCUACCGAUGCCGAUAGGCUGUUUGUUGCCGAUCGGUUGGGGGAAUCCUAAAUAAUAAACUACACUCGUAGAGCCCUUGGCAAGAUGAUUUCGGACGCGGUUUCGAUUACCGCCAUCUCCACCA